UUAUUGAUAACGAUUUGCUCA
Molecule: non-coding RNA, 21 nt
Filed under: Caenorhabditis elegans
Lineage: Eukaryota; Metazoa; Nematoda; Chromadorea; Rhabditida; Rhabditidae
Source: RNAcentral